GUCAAUUGAAUGUGCAAAUAAUCUCACU
RNAcentral lists this non-coding RNA (28 nucleotides) under Homo sapiens (human). The record is from RNAcentral. Lineage: Eukaryota; Metazoa; Chordata; Mammalia; Primates; Hominidae.